UUCUGAUUAAAGGCAUGAGGCUGUGCGCAGAAACAUUUCAUGCAGCAUGUUGCUUGGCGCAAAAGAGAAAAACAAAAGAAAGAGGAAAAAACAAAACAAAAGUCCAAAAAUCCGUAAACCAAUAAAGGGUUUGCCAUCGCCUGAAAGGUUUUUUUCCUUAACCGCCAAACCACAGGGUGAGGCUUUGUAACACCAACCAAGAACUCCAACUCGGCUCAUCUUGGUCUUCCUGUCGUACUCGUGAUUUUAAUUGCUCCUUCUUAGUGCCUGUUUUGGGGUGUGGAGUGCCAUCCUGUGCGCCCAACGCAGCCGCUUGGAUGCCAUCUGAACCGAAGGUCUCUUCGCCUUGAGGGCCUUGCCCAUUCCUACAGUCAGAACUAGGAGGCCUUGCUGGCCCUAGGUGAUUGGAAUUUGUUGGUGACACCAAUCAUGCCAUCAGCCAGGAAUGGGCCACCAUGGAGUGCAUGCCACUUGCUGACAGAGAGCAAGGGACUUAAUCGCCUCUAGUUACUGGGUGUUAAUGAAAAAACAAAACAAACAGAAAACCAAACAGCACAUUAUGCCGGUAACAGAAUUAGAGGUUGGAUGGCUGCGGUCUCCUAAAUGUGUCG
RNAcentral lists this long non-coding RNA (611 nucleotides) under Mus pahari (shrew mouse). RNAcentral's name for it is "lncRNA (MGP_PahariEiJ_G0003298.1)". The record is from RNAcentral. Lineage: Eukaryota; Metazoa; Chordata; Mammalia; Rodentia; Muridae.